Long non-coding RNA from Nyctereutes procyonoides (raccoon dog), 3186 nucleotides. RefSeq lists it as uncharacterized. The record is from RefSeq and is a predicted model, not a curated record. Lineage: Eukaryota; Metazoa; Chordata; Mammalia; Carnivora; Canidae. The transcript is spliced from 3 exons.
AGAGGAAAGAAACAGAAAUCCUGAAUUUUGCAACUACAAUUUAUCUUAAGAACAGUAUGAAAAUAAAAUAUAUUAAGUGAACAAAUAUGACAGAUUAGAGCCUCCCAAACACCUAUGGAAGAGGACUGGUUUGAAAGUUUAGGGAGACAUACAACAUGUCCCUGGAGAAUGCUAGAAAGACAGGGCCCAGGCCCUAAAAGCUCUAGUUUUAGCCUUCUUAUUUUCAAGGACCCAAAGUUUCCAAUGCAACUGACAAGCGAGGGUUCUGUCCUCACUGCUGGGGCCUAGCCCCCGCACCCCCAUGCUGGUGCCACCGCUGGGAGUCCAGGGGAACGGUCACUCUCUAGCUUCAGUUUCCCAGUAUCACAUCUUCUAACUCCCCCCAGUCACUUCCUCAGCACAUUUCAUGUAUUAAUUAACGACCAAAAAAGUGGAUAGCAGAUGGCCAGAGCACCAAGCACACACCUGAGCUCCUUCUCUUAGUAUUCAACAGGAAAGAACAACCAGCUCUCAGUGGCCUGUGUGUGCUAAGCACUGGGCUAAUGCAUUAGCCACAGUAUUGUCUCAUUCAGUCCCCAAAACUCCCCAUGUCAAGUUGCUGUAUUAACCCCAUCACACAAGGACACAAAGUCCUUAUGUGACGUGCCCGAAGUCACUGAAAGCCAAGCCUCAUGUCUAGGUCCAUUUUUGUAACCACUGUGUUAAAAAAGAAUCAUUGAGGAGUAAAAACCAGUACUAAACAGCUCUUAUGUUUAAUUGUGCAAACACAGACUCUUAGAGACAGUAAACAAAUUCUUCAGUGGCUUCUGACCUUCACUCCGUACAAGAUGCAGGAGUGAAACUACACUGAAGAUUCGUAUUUGAAUAUGGAAAUAGAAAAAUGACAAACUCCUUGGAAAUCAAGUCACCUAAAGCAAGUGAACAAAGCCAGAAACAAGUAUAAAGGCAGAGUCCUCAUAAGACCUUGUAACGUGACCUAAGAGUGCCUUUUCUCCUGGUUUCUAUGUGGUACCAGAAGCCCAGAGGAAGAAAAGCCUGAGUGGAGGACGAGGGAACUGAAGCAAAGGCAGGACCCUGCUCCUCCAGGCUCAUUCCUUAGAUGAGAAGCUGCUCAGGCUGCUAAGAAGCUCAAAGCUGAGACUUUCACUCAAUGCCAACAGGUACAUAUAAGUGGCUGAGCGGAUAUCGUAUGUCAAUGUUUCUGACAGUGGAACUGGAAUGGAACUAUGUAAUUAUGAAGAAUGGGUCUGUUCUACAGAAUAAUAAUAGCUUUUAUUCACAGAUGACUGUCAAGGACUUCUUACUAUGUUAUAAAGAGGUAUUUAUGGAAUCUGUUCAGUUCUGUUUUAGUAUGUUGUGCAAAACAUACACAAUUGAGUAUUACUCUAUCCCAUAAUUAAACAUCACAGUCUGUAACCUUUCAGAGGGCACUCGUUAUGCCGUUUAAUAUUUAGCUCAACUUUGUGCUAAGUUUGCUAACAGGUGCUUUCUACUGACAAAAUAAUCUUCCCUGGCCUUCAAAUAUCCUUUUGACACACUGGCCUCUCAGUUAUUUGAACUUCUCACCUUGACGACUCACUAAUGAGGCCCGGUCUGGUCUCAGUCAUUACCAACCACCACCCUGCCCUAAUCUCGAGCUCACACACCCCACUCUGGGAUGUUUCCUUCUCUCCUUCUGGUUUUGCUGCCUCUUAUACCACCACUCUUGGGACCCUUUGAUUCCCCAGGAUCUACAUGCUGCUGAUCCCACGUCCUUUUCUCUGUCCUUUCCUCAUGAUAUCCAUCUGCCUGCUUUGCUCGAGUGAAAUUCCGUGGUCAGUCAUUAUAAACCACUCCCUUGCUUCCACCCUCAACUCCUUUGUCCCACUAUAGCUUCUUCACAUUCACUCAUUAAGACUGCAGCCCUGUGUAAAUCUAGUUCUCCACCUGGUCUGCAUCUGUACCCAUGUAGCUGGAUACAGCCAGAGAAAAACGCUCAACAAUGCCGCUCAAUCUCACCUCCAAUUCAUGGUCCUCAGCAAUCAUUUUAUUUCCCUAGCCCCUGCACUUUCCCUCUCUCCCAGAUGCCAUUUCACCCAUUUCCCUUUUUCUUCAAAUGCUCUGUGUAUCCCUUUAGCUUACCACUCAGGCAAUGGAUCAACUUUUCCUAUGACACUGAAAAAUGUGAAACAAUCAGAAGCAAAUUUUUAUAAAUUUCCACUAACUUCAUUUACCUUUCUAGCAGCACAUGUACCCGUAUGCUCUAUCUUUUCUCCUGUUGCAUGGAUGAACUCAGUAUGGCAGGAACAAUUAAAAGUAUAUGGGUACUGGCCUCAGAGAAACUAAAGCACAACCUAGCACGUCACCGUUCAUUACCUGCAUGAUCUUGGAUAGGUUACCUUACCUCGCUCAGCUAUAGUUUCCUCAUCUGUAAGAUAAGGCUAAUGAUGUAUAUUUUGUAAAGCUGUGUGAGGAUAAAAUAACUGGCAUAUAAGAGUCUCAUUAAAUUUUAGUUCCCUUACUUUAUCUUAUAUUAAGAAUAGCUUGUGGCAACAUAAAUUGGUACAGAUAGUAUGGAAAACAAAGUGGAAGUUCCACAAAAUAUCAGAAAUAAAACCACCAUAUGAUCCAACAAUUCCACUUCUGAGUAUAUAUCUAGAGGAAAUAAAAACACUAACUUGAAGAGAUCUCUGCACCCCCGUGUUCACUGCAGCAUUAUUUACAAUAGGCAAGAUAUGGAAGCAACCCAAGUGUGCCAUUGACUGAUGAAUGGAUAAAGAUGUGGUAUAUGUAUACGAUGCAGUGUUACUCAGCCAUAAAAAAAAUAAUGAGAUCUUGCCAUGUGUGACAACAUGCAUGAACCUUGAGGACAUUAUACUAAGUGAAGUAAGUCAAAGAAAGACAACUACUAUAAAAUAUCAUAUGUGGAAUCUAAAGGAAUCUAACCUACUCAUAGAUACAGAGGAUAUAUAUGGAGGACAUGGGUGAAGGUGGUUAGAAGGGACAAAUUCUAGUAAUAAAAUAAGUCAUGGGAAUGUAAUGUACAGCACGGCAGCUAUAGUUAAUAUUCCUCUAUUGUAUAUUUGAAAGUUGCUAAGAGAGUAAUCUUAAAAGUUCUCAUCACAAGAAAAAAAAAUUAUAACUAUGUGUGGUGAUAGAUGUUAACUAGACUUAUUGUGGUCAUUUUAUAAUAUACACAAAUAUCAA